RNAcentral lists this ribosomal RNA (253 nucleotides) under uncultured bacterium. RNAcentral describes it as "partial 16S ribosomal RNA". It matches the Rfam family "Bacterial small subunit ribosomal RNA", at positions 524 to 776 of the family's 1533-position model. The record is from RNAcentral.
UACAGGGGGUGCAAACGUUGCUCGGAAUUAUUGGGCGUAAAGCGCGCGUAGGCGGCUACUUAAGUCGGAUGUGAAAGCCCUUGGCUCAACUGAGGAAGUGCACCCGAAACUGAGUGGCUAGAGUACGAAAGAGGGUCGCGGAAUUCCCGGUGUAGCGGUGAAAUGCGUAGAGAUCGGGAGGAACACCAGUGGCGAAGGCGGCUACCUGGACCAGCACUGACACUGAGGCACGAAAGCGUGGGGAGCAAACAGG